RNAcentral lists this ribosomal RNA (429 nucleotides) under Acidobacteriota bacterium. RNAcentral's name for it is "Acidobacteria bacterium partial 16S ribosomal RNA". It matches the Rfam family "Bacterial small subunit ribosomal RNA", at positions 355 to 776 of the family's 1533-position model. Lineage: Bacteria; Pseudomonadati; Acidobacteriota. The record is from RNAcentral.
UGGGGAAUUUUGGACAAUGGGGGAAACCCUGAUCCAGCCAUCCCGCGUGUGCGAUGAAGGCCUUCGGGUUGUAAAGCACUUUUGGCAGGAAAGAAACGUCAUGGGUUAAUACCCCGUGAAACUGACGGUACCUGCAGAAUAAGCACCGGCUAACUACGUGCCAGCAGCCGCGGUAAGACGUAGGGUGCAAGCGUUAAUCGGAAUUACUGGGCGUAAAGCGUGCGCAGGCGGUUCGGAAAGAAAGAUGUGAAAUCCCAGAGCUCAACUUUGGAACUGCAUUUUUAACUACCGGGCUAGAGUGUGUCAGAGGGAGGUGGAAUUCCGCGUGUAGCAGUGAAAUGCGUAGAUAUGCGGAGGAACACCGAUGGCGAAGGCAGCCUCCUGGGAUAACACUGACGCUCAUGCACGAAAGCGUGGGGAGCAAACAGG